Molecule: ribosomal RNA, 458 nt
Filed under: uncultured bacterium
Lineage: Bacteria
Description: partial 16S ribosomal RNA
Rfam family: Bacterial small subunit ribosomal RNA
Source: RNAcentral
CCUACGGGGGGCAGCAGUGGGGAAUAUUGCACAAUGGGGGAAACCCUGAUGCAGCGACGCCGCGUGAGUGAAGAAGUAAUUCGUUACGUAAAGCUCUAUCAGCAGGGAAGAAAUACUGACAUUACGGUCAGCAGACGGUACCUGAGUAAGAAGCCCCGGCUAACUACGUGCCAGCAGCCGCGGUAAGACGUAGGGGGCAAGCGUUAUCCGGAUUUACUGGGUGUAAAGGGAGCGUAGACGGUGCGCCAAGGCUGGAGGGAAUGGCCGCAGCUUAAGGGCGGAACUGCUUUGGAAACUGGCGAGCUGGAGUGCGGGAGGGGUGAGCGGAAUUGCUGGUGUAGCGGUGAAAUGCGUAGAUAUUAGGAGGAACACCGGUGGCGAAGGCGACUUACUGGACCGUAACUGACGUUGAGGCUCGAAAGCGUGGGGAGCAAACAGGAUUAGAUACCCGUGUAGUC